Molecule: ribosomal RNA, 231 nt
Filed under: uncultured bacterium
Lineage: Bacteria
Description: partial 16S ribosomal RNA
Rfam family: Bacterial small subunit ribosomal RNA
Source: RNAcentral
CGGACGGGUGAGUAAUGCUGGGAAACUGCCCGAUGGAGGGGGAUAACUACUGGAAACGGUAGCUAAUACCGCAUAACGUCGCAAGACCAAAGAGGGGGACCUUAGGGCCUCUUGCCAUCGGAUGUGCCCAGAUGGGAUUAGCUAGUAGGUGGGGUAACGGCUCACCUAGGCGACGAUCCCUAGCUGGUCUGAGAGGAUGACCAGCCACACUGGAACUGAGACACGGUCCAG